Molecule: ribosomal RNA, 412 nt
Filed under: uncultured archaeon
Lineage: Archaea
Description: bacterial SSU rRNA
Rfam family: Bacterial small subunit ribosomal RNA
Source: RNAcentral
AGCCGCCGCGGUAAUACGGAGGGUGCAAGCGUUAUCCGGAUUCACUGGGUUUAAAGGGUGCGUAGGUGGGUCUGUAAGUCCGUGGUGAAAUCUCCGAGCUUAACUCGGAAACUGCCAUGGAUACUAUAGGUCUUGAAUACUGUGGAGGUCAGCGGAAUAUGUCAUGUAGCGGUGAAAUGCUUAGAUAUGACAUAGAACACCAAUUGCGAAGGCAGCUGGCUACACAAAUAUUGACACUGAGGCACGAAAGCGUGGGGAUCAAACAGGAUUAGAUACCCUGGUAGUCCACGCCCUAAACUAUGGAUACUCGACAUACGCGAUACACAGUGUGUGUCUGAGCGAAAGCAUUAAGUAUCCCACCUGGGAAGUACGAUCGCAAGAUUGAAACUCAAAGGAAUUGGCGGGGGAGCAC